CAGCGCCGCGGGAAUACGGAGGGUGCAAGCGUUAAUCGGAAUUACUGGGCGUAAAGCGUGCGCAGGCGGUUCGUUAAGACAGAUGUGAAAUCCCCGGGCUUAACCUGGGAACUGCAUUUGUGACUGGCGAGCUAGAGUAUGGCAGAGGGGGGUAGAAUUCCACGUGUAGCAGUGAAAUGCGUAGAGAUGUGGAGGAAUACCGAUGGCGAAGGCAGCCCCCUGGGCCAAUACUGACGCUCAUGCACGAAAGCGUGGGGAGCAAACAGGAUUAGAUACCCGUGUAGUCCCUGUCUCUUAUACA
This 301-nucleotide ribosomal RNA is filed under the name uncultured bacterium. Its description in RNAcentral is "partial 16S ribosomal RNA". It matches the Rfam family "Bacterial small subunit ribosomal RNA", at positions 509 to 808 of the family's 1533-position model. The record is from RNAcentral.